GAUGAACGCUGGCGGCGUGCCUAAUACAUGCAAGUCGAGCGAACGGACGAGAAGCUUGCUUCUCUGAUGUUAGCGGCGGACGGGUGAGUAACACGUGGAUAACCUACCUAUAAGACUGGGAUAACUUCGGGAAACCGGAACUAAUACCGGAUGAUAUUUUGAACCGCAUGGUUCAAAAGUGAAAGACGGUCUUGCUGUCACUUAUAGAUGGAUCCGCGCUGCAUUAGCUAGUUGGUAAGGUAACGGCUUACCAAGGCAACGAUGCAUAGCCGACCUGAGAGGGUGAUCGGCCACACUGGAACUGAGACACGGUCCAGACUCCUACGGGAGGCAGCAGUAGGGAAUCUUCCGCAAUGGGCGAAAGCCUGACGGAGCAACGCCGCGUGAGUGAUGAAGGUCUUCGGAUCGUAAAACUCUGUUAUUAGGGAAGAACAUAUGUGUAAGUAACUGUGCACAUCUUGACGGUACCUAAUCAGAAAGCCACGGCUAACUAC
RNAcentral lists this ribosomal RNA (494 nucleotides) under uncultured bacterium. RNAcentral describes it as "partial 16S ribosomal RNA". It matches the Rfam family "Bacterial small subunit ribosomal RNA", at positions 28 to 504 of the family's 1533-position model. The record is from RNAcentral.